GCUAUGAUGGCUUAUGUGGUUAGAGCCUCCGCCUCAGAUGCGGGAGGUUGUGGGCUGAAACCCCGGCCUAGUCUUAAAAAAGCC
Molecule: non-coding RNA, 84 nt
Organism: Potamilus streckersoni
Lineage: Eukaryota; Metazoa; Mollusca; Bivalvia; Unionida; Unionidae
Source: the annotation of a GenBank genome assembly